RNAcentral lists this ribosomal RNA (506 nucleotides) under uncultured bacterium. RNAcentral's name for it is "partial 16S ribosomal RNA". It matches the Rfam family "Bacterial small subunit ribosomal RNA", at positions 29 to 523 of the family's 1533-position model. The record is from RNAcentral.
AGUGAACGCUGGCGGUAGGCCUAACACAUGCAAGUCGAACGGCAGCACAGGAGAGCUUGCUCUCUGGGUGGCGAGUGGCGGACGGGUGAGGAAUACAUCGGAAUCUACUCUGUCGUGGGGGAUAACGUAGGGAAACUUACGCUAAUACCGCAUACGACCUACGGGUGAAAGCAGGGGACCUUCGGCCCUUGCGCGAUUGAAUGAGCCGAUGUCGGAUUAGCUAGUUGGCGGGGUAAAGGCCCACCAAGGCGACGAACCGUAGCUGGUCUGAGAGGAUGAUCAGCCACACUGGAACUGAGACACGGUCCAGACUCCUACGGGAGGCAGCAGUGGGGAAUAUAGGACAAUGGGCGCAAGCCUGAUCCAGCCAUACCGCGUGGGUGAAGAAGGCCUUCGGGUUGUAAAGCCCUUUUGUUGGGAAAGAAAUCCAGCUGGCUAAUACCCGGUUGGGAUGACGGUACCCAAAGAAUAAGCACCGGCUAACUUCGUGCCAGCCGCCGCGGUAA